RNAcentral lists this ribosomal RNA (861 nucleotides) under Fomitiporia sp. Its description in RNAcentral is "eukaryotic LSU rRNA". It matches the Rfam family "Eukaryotic large subunit ribosomal RNA", at positions 77 to 915 of the family's 3401-position model. The record is from RNAcentral. Lineage: Eukaryota; Fungi; Basidiomycota; Agaricomycetes; Hymenochaetales; Hymenochaetaceae.
CCCCUAGUAACUGCGAGUGAAGCGGGAAGAGCUCAAAUUUAAAAUCUGGCAGUCUUCUGGCUGUCCGAGUUGUAAUCUGGAGAAGCGUUUUCUGUGUUAGACCGUGUACAAGUCUCCUGGAACGGAGCCUCAUAGAGGGUGAGAAUCCCGUCCAUGACACGGACUACUAAUACUUUGUGAUACGCUCUCGAAGAGUCGAGUUGUUUGGGAAUGCAGCUCAAAAUGGGUGGUAAAUUCCAUCUAAAGCUAAAUACAGGCGAGAGACCGAUAGCGAACAAGUACCGUGAGGGAAAGAUGAAAAGCACUUUGGAAAGAGAGUUAAACAGUACGUGAAAUUGUUGAAAGGGAAACGCUUGAAGUCAGUCGCGUUGUGCAGAACUCAGCCUUGCCUCGGCUUGGUGUACUUUCUGCACAACGGGUCAACAUCAAUUUUGGCCCAUGGAGAAAGGUGGGGGGAAUGUAGCGCUGUUUCGGCAGCGUGUUAUAGCCCUCUAUUGUAUACAUGGGCUGGGAUUGAGGAUCGCAGCACGCCCUUGUGGCCGGGGGUUCGCCCUACGUACCGUGCUUAGGAUGUUGGCAGAAUGGCUUUAAGCGACCCGUCUUGAAACACGGACCAAGGAGUCUAACAUGCUUGCGAGUGUUCGGGUGGAAAACCCUUGUGCGUAAUGAAAGUGAAAGUUGGGAACCUCCGCAAGGGGGUGCACCGACGCCCGGCCCUGACGUUCUCUGACGGUGCUGCGGUAGAGCAAGUAUGCUAGGACCCGAAAGAUGGUGAACUAUGCCUGAAUAGGGCGAAGCCAGAGGAAACUCUGGUGGAGGCUCGUAGCGAUUCUGACGUGCAAAUCGAUCGUCAAAUUUGGG